GACGAACGCUGGCGGCGUGCCUAAUACAUGCAAGUAGAACGCUGAAGAGAGGAGCUUGCUCUUCUUGGAUGAGUUGCGGACGGGUGAGUAACGCGUAGGUAACCUGCCUUGUAGCGGGGGAUAACUAUUGGAAACGAUAGCUAAUACCGCAUAACAAUAGGUGACACAUGUCAUUUAUUUGAAAGGGGCAAUUGCUCCACUACAAGAUGGACCUGCGUUGUAUUAGCUAGUAGGUGAGGUAACGGCUCACCUAGGCGACGAUACAUAGCCGACCUGAGAGGGUGAUCGGCCACACUGGGACUGAGACACGGCCCAGACUCCUACGGGAGGCAGCAGUAGGGAAUCUUCGGCAAUGGGGGCAACCCUGACCGAGCAACGCCGCGUGAGUGAAGAAGGUUUUCGGAUCGUAAAGCUCUGUUGUAAGUCAAGAACGAGUGUGAGAGUGGAAAGUUCACACUGUGACGGUAGCUUACCAGAAAGGGACGGCUAACUACGUG
This 497-nucleotide ribosomal RNA is filed under the name uncultured bacterium. RNAcentral's name for it is "partial 16S ribosomal RNA". It matches the Rfam family "Bacterial small subunit ribosomal RNA", at positions 28 to 507 of the family's 1533-position model. The record is from RNAcentral.